This 482-nucleotide ribosomal RNA is filed under the name uncultured bacterium. Its description in RNAcentral is "bacterial SSU rRNA". It matches the Rfam family "Bacterial small subunit ribosomal RNA", at positions 28 to 526 of the family's 1533-position model. The record is from RNAcentral.
GACGAACGCUGGCGGCGUGCUUAACACAUGCAAGUCGAACGGAAAGGCCCUUCGGGGUGCUCGAGUGGCGAACGGGUGAGUAACACGUGGGUGAUCUGCCCUGCACUUUGGGAUAAGCCUGGGAAACUGGGUCUAAUACCGAAUACACCUUGCUGGCUGCAUGGCUGGUGGGGGAAAGCUUUUGCGGUGUGGGAUGAGCCCGCGGCCUAUCAGCUUGUUGGUGGGGUGAUGGCCUACCAAGGCUUCGACGGGUAGCCGGCCUGAGAGGGUGUCCGGCCACACUGGGACUGAGAUACGGCCCAGACUCCUACGGGAGGCAGCAGUGGGGAAUAUUGCACAAUGGGCGCAAGCCUGAUGCAGCGACGCCGCGUGGGGGAUGACGGCCUUCGGGUUGUAAACCUCUUUCAGUUGGGACGAAGCGCAAGUGACGGUACCGACAGAAGAAGCACCGGCCAACUACGUGCCAGCCGCCGCAGUAACAC